CUACGGGCGGCACCAGUGGGGGAUAUUGCACAAUGGGCGAAAGCCUGAUGCAGCAACGCCGUGUGAAGGAUGACGGAUUUCGGUCUGUAAACUUCUAUCAGCAGGGAAGAAAAUGACGGUACCUGACUAAGAAGCCCCGGCUAACUACGUGCCAGCAGCCGCGGUAAUACGUAGGGGGCAAGCGUUAUCCGGAAUUACUGGGUGUAAAGGGUACGUAGGCGGCUGAUCAAGUCAGAUGUGAAAGCCCGGAGCUCAACUCCGGGAUUGCAUUUGAAACUGGUCGGCUAGAGUGCAGGAGAGGAAAGUGGAAUUCCUAGUGUAGCGGUGAAAUGCGUAGAUAUUAGGAAGAACACCAGUGGCGAAGGCGGCUUUCUGGACUGUAACCGACGCUGAGGUACGAAAGCGUGGGGAGCGAACAGGAUUAGAUACCCCGGUAGUC
RNAcentral lists this ribosomal RNA (439 nucleotides) under uncultured bacterium. Its description in RNAcentral is "partial 16S ribosomal RNA". It matches the Rfam family "Bacterial small subunit ribosomal RNA", at positions 339 to 795 of the family's 1533-position model. The record is from RNAcentral.